GAUGAACGCUGGCGGCGUGCCUAAUACAUGCAAGUCGAGCGAACGGACGAGAAGCUUGCUUCUCUGAUGUUAGCGGCGGACGGGUGAGUAACACGUGGAUAACCUACCUAUAAGACUGGGAUAACUUCGGGAAACCGGAGCUAAUACCGGAUAAUGUUUUGAACCGCAUGGUUCAAAAGUGAAAGACGGUCUUGCUGUCACUUAUAGAUGGAUCCGCGCUGCAUUAGCUAGUUGGUAAGGUAACGGCUUACCAAGGCAACGAUGCAUAGCCGACCUGAGAGGGUGAUCGGCCACACUGGAACUGAGACACGGUCCACACUCCUACGGGAGGCAGCAGUAGGGAAUCUUCCGCAAUGGGCGAAAGCCUGACGGAGCAACGCCGCGUGAGUGAUGAAGGUCUUCGGAUCGUAAAACUAUGUUAUUAGGGAAGAACAUAUGUGUAAGUAACUGUGCACAUCUUGACGGUACCUAAUCAGAAAGCCACGGCUAACUACGUG
RNAcentral lists this ribosomal RNA (497 nucleotides) under uncultured bacterium. RNAcentral's name for it is "partial 16S ribosomal RNA". It matches the Rfam family "Bacterial small subunit ribosomal RNA", at positions 28 to 507 of the family's 1533-position model. The record is from RNAcentral.